This is a non-coding RNA of Macaca mulatta (Rhesus monkey), 262 nucleotides long. NCBI's taxonomy places the organism in Eukaryota, Metazoa, Chordata, Mammalia, Primates, Cercopithecidae. The record is from RefSeq and is a predicted model, not a curated record.
UGUAGAUGAAUAACAGAUUGUCUGCAGCUUGCACCCCUCUGGAGUGCGCUCUGAAACACUGGAACUGCUUUAACCUCAGGAAUUUGAAGAGAAAAGUGACUCAUUUUAUUUUGCACAAAGGAAUCGACACAACCAGCAGAAACCCACCCAAGCCCAGGAAAUAGGAUCACCUCGAUUUAACUCAGGAAAUUUGGUUUUAUUUUGUGCCAGGCGUCAUAGCAGCCUCCAGACAAAGCCAUGUGAGCAAGACAACACCGGCCAG